Long non-coding RNA from Hipposideros armiger (great roundleaf bat), 237 nucleotides. RefSeq lists it as uncharacterized. NCBI's taxonomy places the organism in Eukaryota, Metazoa, Chordata, Mammalia, Chiroptera, Hipposideridae. The transcript has 3 exons. The record is from RefSeq and is a predicted model, not a curated record.
CCAAGAUGGAGAGAGAGGUUCACUACUGUGUGUCUAGUCCUCAGUAUACUGCCCAACACACAUAGGAAAUGGUGAUUUCAGUCUUCUGAUAAAAGACUUGGAGAAUAGAAGAAAGAUACACAUACAUCUAUUUGGAGUUAACAGAAAAAAUAAAGAAAUGGAGGAGUAUCAACAUUCAAAUAAUUAAAGGCUUUAAAUUUUUCAGACUCCCUGAAAGUCAUGUAUCUUCAACACAGG